CAAUAGCGUAUAUUAAAGUUGUUGCAGUUAAAAAGCUCGUAGUUGGAUUUGUGGCGUACGGUGUGUUCCGGGCACUUGUUGUCUGAGUAACCUGCUGUUGCCAUCCCUGGGUGGAACCUGUGUGGCAUUAGGUUGUCGUGCAGGGGAUGCCCAUCAUUUACUGUGAAAAAAUUAGAGUGUUCAAAGCAGGCUUAUGCCGUUGAAUAUAUUAGCAUGGAAUAAUGAGAUAGGACUUUUUUGCUAUUUUGUUGGUUUGCGCAAAGAGGUAAUGAUUAAUAGGGACAGUUGGGGGUAUUCGUAUUCCAUUGUCAGAGGUGAAAUUCUUGGAUUUUUGGAAGACGAACUACUGCGAAAGCAUUUACCAAGGAUGUUUUCAUUAA
RNAcentral lists this ribosomal RNA (380 nucleotides) under uncultured eukaryote. Its description in RNAcentral is "partial 18S ribosomal RNA". It matches the Rfam family "Eukaryotic small subunit ribosomal RNA", at positions 592 to 976 of the family's 1831-position model. The record is from RNAcentral.